CCCUAACAACACACAACAUUCCAGGAAUGUACUACCAAAGUUCUAUCAAUAUUUGAAUGUCCUGGACAUUUAGGGAACAUUCGGUGAACAUAUGUUUAAAUUAUUCCUGGAAUGUUACCAUAAGACAUUCUGUGAACAUACUACCAAUGUUCCUAUAUUUUAAGUUGCGAAAUAAUACAUACGUGUAACAGAUACAACAUUACUUAUAACAUACCAGACAAACUAAGUGACACUUUAGGCCUACAGUGCAAUAAUAUGUCAAAUUUAAAGAGUUUCCCAAGUUCAAUUAAUACAAUAUUAUAAACAUACAAAUGUAAUAAAAAUUAUUGUUCGCGAAUAUUCAAUUUGGAAUGCGAUUUUGUUAAUAAAAAAAAUACUUAUAACUUAUGCAAAACCCAAGAGAGGCAUUUAUAUUUAUUUCUUUUGCGUUCAUUUUCAAAUUCGCCGUGCAUAUAUUUUUGUGCAUGGCGCUUGAGAGGGCAUCACGUGACUAAAAACGACCAACCAACGACCUCGCUUCGGCCAUCUUGGCAUCUUCAUCUUGGCCACCUUGCUUUGCCGUGGGUGGAUCGUUGUUUCUAUUAUUUGUGCUUUUUAAGAAUAUUUUUUUAAUUCGGAUACUUUUAUAAUAGCUUUAAUAGUAUUAUUAACAUAGUGAAUAAAAUGGUGUCCUGUUUUUAACGCAGUUGGAGUAGCAGAAACAAAUGUAGAUAAAAAAAUCUGCAGGAAUAACGUUUCAAUUAUGACAGAAGCUCCAAACAAAUGACUGUGAAUGAAAAGCCCUAUUAAAAGCUUUCCAGAAGAUCCUGCGAAGAAGACAUGAACUAUAGAUCAGAUUUGUUAAUAGAGGAGUAUGUUCAAAACACUUUUUAGAAAAAGAUAUUGACAGAACUUCACUUUCAUCUGUUCGUUUAAGAGACUGUGCUGUUCCAAUAGCUUAUGUCACACAGAAUCAGCUGAGAGAAGUGGUCUACAAAAAACCAGAAAGGAAACAGAAUAUGUGGCUACGAAAAGCAAAAGAAAGGUUUACAAAGCAAAUGUGACACAUUUUUUUAUAAUAUUUAGGAAUGUCAGUAAAUUACAUUAAAAAAUGUAUGUAAAGAUUUUUUGCAAUAAAAAUGUUUAUAUUUA
This 1131-nucleotide long non-coding RNA is filed under the name Diabrotica virgifera virgifera (western corn rootworm). RNAcentral describes it as "uncharacterized LOC126880334". Lineage: Eukaryota; Metazoa; Arthropoda; Insecta; Coleoptera; Chrysomelidae. The record is from RNAcentral.